RNAcentral lists this unclassified non-coding RNA (331 nucleotides) under soil metagenome. Its description in RNAcentral is "partial contains 5.8S ribosomal RNA, internal transcribed spacer 2, and large subunit ribosomal RNA". The stretch from base 1 to 121 matches the Rfam family "5.8S ribosomal RNA", at positions 35 to 154 of the family's 154-position model. The record is from RNAcentral.
GAUGAAGAACGUAGUGAAAUGCGAUAAGUAAUGCGAAUUGCAGAAUUUCCGUGAGUCAUCGAAUCUUUGAACGCACAUUGCGCCCUCUGGUAUUCCGGGGGGCAUGCCUGUUCGAGCGUCAUUACAACCCUCAAGCUUUGCUUGGUAUUGGACAUUGCCAGUUUCUGGCAGGUCUUAAAAUCAGUGGCGGUGCCAUUUGGCUUCAAGCGUAGUAAUUCUUCUCGCUUUGGAGAUCCAAGUGGUUACUUGCCAAUAACCCCCAAUUUUUUCAGGUUGACCUCGGAUCAGGUAGGGAUACCCGCUGAACUUAAGCAUAUCAAUAAGCGGAGGA